Molecule: ribosomal RNA, 241 nt
Filed under: uncultured bacterium
Lineage: Bacteria
Description: partial small subunit ribosomal RNA
Rfam family: Bacterial small subunit ribosomal RNA
Source: RNAcentral
AGAAUCAACGCUGGCGGCGUGCCUAACACAUGCAAGUCGAACGAGAAAGUGGAGCAAUCCAUGAGUAAAGUGGCGCACGGGUGAGUAACACGUGACUAACCUACCCUUGAGUGGGGGAUAACCUCGGGAAACCGGGGCUAAUACCGCAUAAUAUCGAGAGAUCAAAGGAGCAAUUCGCUUAAGGAGGGGGUCGCGGCUGAUUAGCUAGUUGGUAGGGUAAUGGCCUACCAAGGCUAUGAUC